This is an RNA transcript of Daphnia pulicaria, 1076 nucleotides long. RefSeq lists it as uncharacterized. The transcript is spliced from 7 exons. Lineage: Eukaryota; Metazoa; Arthropoda; Branchiopoda; Diplostraca; Daphniidae. The record is from RefSeq and is a predicted model, not a curated record.
UCGUGUGUAACUUGUCGGUGAUGUGCUCUAUUCCGUGUAUAUGUUGGAUAACCUUAACAUUUCUCAUCAACUUACAGUCUGAGGAAACGUGAAAGUCGAUACCGUCAGCGUCAGCUAUUUUGUUCAAACUCAUUGUAUUCUACUGAAUGUGUCAUCGAAAUUAUACAGGAUUCAUCUUAAUUAUCGGCUGUUUCUGUUGAACUUGCUAGAUCACCGACCCCAGCAUGGAACAAUCUCUCAUUCCAUCUUAUAGAGAAUCUUGGAUAACUGAUUGGUGAUUUCAUGUGUUUCUAAAUUGGCAUGACUGACUUUAAGUUAUGUCCUUCCAAGAAAAAGGACUUACAACAAGAUUCCUUGUUUGCUAACCUGUUGGCUGCUACCCUUGAAUCUCCCUAUUUGUCAACAACAAAAAAAGAGGUUACAUAUUGUGAUCAUGCCUAUCAUCAUUAUGUUGCCUAUAAGACCAAAUGUGGGGCAUCUGGUUAUCCCUCCAAAAUAAGGUAAUGACCUUACGUUCAACGCGGAUCAUUCGCUUUGUCAUCGAACUUGACUCAUUCCAUCUUCUGGAUUGCUUAGGAAAGCUGAUUGGUGUUACCUGUCCAUUUAGGUAAUGACCGAGGAGAAUAACCUACAUGCACAUCAUUUAGGCAGCCAGCAUCAUUCGACUACCCAACCGGCUUCUACUACCCUGCUCUCAACACAGCACGGAGUUUUACCCUUAGAUUUUUGGCUGUUCGCGAUGUGUGAUGGCGUUUCCUUGGACGAGAUGAUGAUUUUGGGAAGAAAAAUAUUGCGCUAACCUUCAGGUUCCUAAAUAUGAAAAGUAAUGUUCUUUCAAGAAAGUCAAUGAGGUCCCUUACUCCCUUGUUUGCUAACCCAAUGGCUGCUACCCUUGAAUCUCCCUAUUUAGCUCCUUACACAGUCCCUCUUGAUUUUAGGGUAAUCCUUCGCUACUGAUGAUGGACUCCAUUGGUGAAACUGAAAACGACGAGAGAAUGCUGUAAUCCAAGACUGAUAAAUUGUGUAGUUAGAUUAAAUUACAAGUGCAUUCUGGGCUCCCUUCUUUUCUGUGGCCC